This 629-nucleotide ribosomal RNA is filed under the name Kocuria sediminis. Its description in RNAcentral is "bacterial SSU rRNA". It matches the Rfam family "Bacterial small subunit ribosomal RNA", at positions 42 to 681 of the family's 1533-position model. The record is from RNAcentral. Lineage: Bacteria; Bacillati; Actinomycetota; Actinomycetes; Micrococcales; Micrococcaceae.
GCGUGCUUAACACAUGCAAGUCGAACGAUGAUCUCCCGCUUGCGGGGGUGAUUAGUGGCGAACGGGUGAGUAAUACGUGAGUAACCUGCCCUUGACUCUGGGAUAAGCCUGGGAAACCGGGUCUAAUACUGGAUACGACCCCCUGUCGCAUGGUGGGGGGUGGAAAGGGUUUGACUGGUUUUGGAUGGGCUCACGGCCUAUCAGCUUGUUGGUGGGGUAAUGGCUCACCAAGGCGACGACGGGUAGCCGGCCUGAGAGGGUGACCGGCCACACUGGGACUGAGACACGGCCCAGACUCCUACGGGAGGCAGCAGUGGGGAAUAUUGCACAAUGGGCGGAAGCCUGAUGCAGCGACGCCGCGUGAGGGAUGACGGCCUUCGGGUUGUAAACCUCUUUCAGCAGGGAAGAAGCCACAAGUGACGGUACCUGCAGAAGAAGCGCCGGCUAACUACGUGCCAGCAGCCGCGGUAAUACGUAGGGCGCAAGCGUUGUCCGGAAUUAUUGGGCGUAAAGAGCUCGUAGGCGGUUUGUCGCGUCUGCUGUGAAAGCCCGGGGCUCAACCCCGGGUCUGCAGUGGGUACGGGCAGACUAGAGUGCAGUAGGGGAGACUGGAAUUCCUGGUGUAGCGG